Molecule: ribosomal RNA, 253 nt
Filed under: uncultured bacterium
Lineage: Bacteria
Description: partial 16S ribosomal RNA
Rfam family: Bacterial small subunit ribosomal RNA
Source: RNAcentral
CACGUAGGCACCAAGCGUUAUCCGGAUUUAUUGGGCGUAAAGAGCUCGUAGGCGGCUCGUCGCGUCGACCGUGAAAACCCGCAGCUUAACUGCGGGCUUGCGGUUGAUACGGGCGGGCUAGAGUUCGGUAGGGGAGACUGGAAUUCCAGGUGUAGCGGUGAAAUGCGUAGAUAUCUGGAGGAACACCGGUGGCGAAGGCGGCAUCCUGGACCGACACUGACGCUGAGGCGCGAAAGCCAGGGGAGCAAACGGG